AAAAAAGAGAAACAAAAGCCGGAGCCAGCGACAUCGCUCGAAUUUAUUCAAUCUUGGCGACAAGACUGAGUGUUUGCAGAACCAUAGGAGUAUCGUUGGAAAAGACGAAGACAGGGUAAUGGCUUAAACACACGAAUUGUAUUUAGGAAGACGUGCCGGCCAAACUAUUGCAAGUUUGAUUGUUCAGCAUAAUGUUAGAUUAACAAACUCUUCACCUAUGCACGGUCAUCAGCCCCCGCCAGGUCCUGGCCUGUCAUUUGUGUCACAAGGAAGUACCACACCUGGUCAUGUGUCAGGAAUUGGAGAGAUAACAUCUUACUUAGAAGUAAAUUGAAGGCAGCCAACAAUUGGACGGUGGUGCCAAUCAAUGAAAAGAAGGGAUACACGUACAUGCACUGAGUACACAGAGAUCAUCAAGGAAAAAACCCUUCGAUCAAAGUUCCUUUUUGAUUCAGCUUAUCCAAAGCUGAUUGCCUCUACAAUUGCCCCUUAUAUAUCCACCUGCGGCUAAUGAGGAGCUGCAAUAUCCAAUAGGUCAAGGGCAAGCAACUCGGAAACAAUAUGAAGAUUUACUCAUACAAAUUGGUACAUGGUGUAUGUAACUAUGUUGUUUUAACUAACUUCAACAUACCAUUAUUAUGAAUUAAAAAAUUAACAAAGCUGAAAUCAAUAACUGACUAUGGGUAGGAACAUGUUGUGUGAAUUUGGCAGCAUGGUUUUAUUGGAUGUAUACCACUGAGUAUGAAAGUGCAUGUGUGACCCUGGCUGUUUUUUCAGUCAGUAGAUGACUUUAGUAUUUGAAAUGAUGCUUGAAUUUAUUUGUGUAAUAUGAAGGCGUGACCAAAUGUGUGACAUUAUGGUCGACUGUCCUGUCAUCAUCAUGGUGAUAAAAUGUGAUUUUAAUAAAGUGAACUGCUUAUAAACAUAGGGCAGAAAUAUCAUUGAUAAAAUACUGAUGAACAUAGCAUACAAGUGCCCUGAAAUGACAUGUGAAUAUGUAUUUGAGUUUUAAGUGUGUAAGGUAUUGUGAAUUUUGUUAAUUGUUUUGUUAUAAAAAUAUUGGAUCCAAAGUAUUCAAUCAUAGAUCACUCUGAAAAAGAAGAAUAAGUAAAAACCUUGUCUGGCAAAUAACUACAUAAACAAUGGGCCAAGUUCCAGAUUUUUUUGUCACAAGUCAAGACCAUUAACAGGAAUUGUUGACUCUUAUAGGUGUUAUGUAUCAUGAUUUGUGUUAAGUUUUUUAUGGGAGACCCAUGAUCAAACAUGGUGAAUUAAUUGUUUUGUUAUUACAAUAGAGGAUCCAAAGUAUUUGAUCAUAGGUCACUCUGAAACAGAAGAAUUUGUGAAAACCUUGUCUGGCAAAUAGCUAAAUAAACACUGGGCUCAGCAUUUUCCAGAUUUUUUGUCACAAGUAAAGACUAUGAAAAGGAAUUAUUGACUCUUUUAGGUAUAAGUUACCAUAGUCAAUGUUGAGUGCGUGCUGCACACCACAUUUGUUUAUGUUCCAUUAACAAUGACAUCAAAGCACAAUGCUAUAUAUAGAUUAUGUAUUGUUUUCCAUUGUUUAUCAGUCUAUAAACAACCAUUUAUUGUAAUAGCCUUACAUAAACUGUCAUAAAGAUGAUAAAGUGCUGUUAAUCCAUAAAUAAAAAAUUGGUGGAAUUCAGAAAUAAUUUGAUCUGUCAAAUGUUGAAAG
Molecule: long non-coding RNA, 1696 nt
Organism: Dreissena polymorpha
Lineage: Eukaryota; Metazoa; Mollusca; Bivalvia; Myida; Dreissenidae
Exons: 3
Source: RefSeq, a predicted model, not a curated record